CUAAAUCCGUCAUAUGUAUUUCUUUUGGACAUCAAAUUUGGCAGAGUGUCCGCUGGUCUGAUUCGAGGACCCAAUGUACUGAAGUUUGCAGUCAGCCUUGAAAUUUGGAAUGGGCUUUGGGCUGCAAAUUAAUUGGGCCCGAGCUUCUGAGGUGAAUUGAUUUAGACACCCGUUGUGUUAAGCUUCUGAGGUUGGGCUUUGUGACUUGAGAUGGGCUUCACACUGCCAGGAAGUUCAAAUGGGCCCAAAUUUAUGUAGUGAAAGGGCUCAAGUAAACAAAAGGUGAUCUGGACAGCCAGGCUCUUUCCUUCGAGCUAAAAUCAAGCCCAGCUGUAUCAAAACAUUGAUUAUCACAUGUGCUUGAUCUCCAGCGUAGAGUCAGAUUUGGCAUCCAGUUCGACAGUUAGACGAUCGACUGGUGUGCGAAGUUGGCGUGACCCAUUUUGAUCUUGUAUAUAGCUUGUUGUCCUGUUUGCUAUCACACCACCGCUUCAAUUAAAAGCUUAAUUGUGUCUCCUCCACCGCUGCUUUUGUAUUCAUUUAGCAAAAGGACACCUCGAUCAUCUCUGUUGACAAAGAAAAUAUAGUCUCUGAGAUAAUAUCCGUAUGUGUCCGUAGCUUUGCUUUAAGUUUGUCUUUCCUUUCCUUUUUGUUUACAUGUUACAAAGAAGAAACAAAGACCAAAAAAACAAGGGUGAGGCUUCAAUCAUUUUGCUUGAUGUGAUUGGUACUUUGUAUGGUUUGCUUUGGAGGUGGUGGUUUAUGAUAGUCGAUGGGAGACAGAAGGCUGGGAGGCUCUUUAGUUGUGGCGGGUAUUUCUGUUUUUCAAAGAGGGUGAAUGUGGAGAGUGAUCGGAACUCGGCCAUUAGUGACACUAUGUUCGAAUGCUGGAAUUUGCAGCAGCCAGGAUUAUAUUAAGACGUCGGCCGUUCAUGAACGACCAUGUUAGUCUUAAUGUAGGAGGAGAUCCCAAUGGAGUUUGGACAUUCAUGAACUACCAUGGUUGUUUUCAAAAAGAUAUGAGUUGUUUAUGAACAGCCCUCCUUUUGUUUGAAGCAAGCUUUUUAGUUCUCUGUCAAAGAAGACAAGAAUAGCAUGACGUGGUGUAUACCUGGGCUUCUCCCCUGAGCUUGGCUUGUCAUCACUCUUUAUCUCGACAGAACUUCAACAAUUAAUUGUUGCUUCUUUUUUCACCCUCUGUUUCGGCAGAGCUUUAGCUUUUGCUUGCUGAUUUCUUCCUCCUCUUUGUGUAUCUUUUAUAUUUCUCCUCCCCUGAAUUAUUGUUAAAAGCCCCAUUUUAUAAGCAACAUAGAAGGAUAAGAGAUCAUGUUGGUUGAGUUCAAUUUGUUUUGAAAUUGAAAUGAUCUUCAGAUGACGAUAACCACCUCCACAUUCAAAUUUGUAUCUAUGGAGAUUAUCCACAACUUUCAAUAUGUUAUUUGAAAUGUGAAAGCCUGCAGCAUUUGAUGACUUCUUUGUCGCCAUACUGUUCCUCUUCCUUCUGGAGAU
Molecule: long non-coding RNA, 1509 nt
Organism: Rosa chinensis
Lineage: Eukaryota; Viridiplantae; Streptophyta; Magnoliopsida; Rosales; Rosaceae
Exons: 3
Source: RefSeq, a predicted model, not a curated record